CGCCCGUGGAAACCUACUGGGACUUCAGAUAUCACCAACGAAGAGAGUCGCCCCCGCGUUUCAGAGUCGUAUCAUCCCCGUGGGGCAUCACGUCCCAGAGCUCCGGCCCGCUGACGCUCCCCAAGAGUACCUACCCGUUGGUGCUCAACACGAUCUCGCCGUCCGUCCGUCCUUCCUGUCACCUGUGAAGCGGAAUUACGUGUGGACGACGCAUCCGCAGCGACAGGCCUAUUCGCUGAAGAAGUAGACGAGGUCUCUUGCUGCAAAUAAAUAAAUUAAUUAUAUAUUAUAACAACAUAUUUUUUCAUCCAGAUUGUACUUCAACAUUUCUUCUCAUUGCAACUUGUCAUCAUAUGUAAUAUAUGCUGUCUUAGGAAUUUCCUUUCAUGAACCAUUAGAUUUAUGAAAAACAAUUUUCGGAUAUUCAUCUGUGUGGCGGACUUAUCAUAGAGUACUAGAGCAGUUCAGAGAGUAGUAUUCCCUUCUUUGGUGUGUCUAAAGCAACAUGAUUUUAUCAUUCAUGAGGUAUGUGGCAGGGUUAAGGUACGGGAAUCAGGCAUGUAGUAUUUUCUUUUCCUAAUUCUCGGAACAAUGGGUGAGCUGAAACAUUUAGGUAUUCAAUCGAACCAAGAAUGUCAUCCCAUCAUUCUUGCUAAUCUUUGCUGGAAUUCGCGUCAUGUAAUGUUCUGUAGACCAUUUGGUCAAACUCGUGUUGCAGUCGUGUAAAAACCAUUGAAAAAUUAUACAUGAAUAAAUCUUAGAGAGGCAAAAA
Penaeus vannamei (Pacific white shrimp) is the source of this 772-nucleotide non-coding RNA. The record is from RefSeq and is a predicted model, not a curated record. NCBI's taxonomy places the organism in Eukaryota, Metazoa, Arthropoda, Malacostraca, Decapoda, Penaeidae.